RNAcentral lists this ribosomal RNA (295 nucleotides) under uncultured actinomycete. Its description in RNAcentral is "partial 16S ribosomal RNA". It matches the Rfam family "Bacterial small subunit ribosomal RNA", at positions 220 to 526 of the family's 1533-position model. The record is from RNAcentral. Lineage: Bacteria; Bacillati; Actinomycetota; Actinomycetes; Actinomycetales.
AUUGGAUGAGCCCGCGGCCUAUCAGCUUGUUGGUGAGGUAAAAGCUCACCAAGGCUACGACGGGUAGCUGGUCUGAGAGGGUGUACGGCCACACUGGAACUUAGACACGGUCCAGACUCCUACGGGAGGCAGCAGUGGGGAAUAUUGCGCUAAUGCGCGAAAGCGUGACGCAGCGACGCCGCGUGGGGGAUGAAGGCCCUCGGGUUGUAAACCCCUUUCGGCAGGGACGAAGCGAGAGUGACGGUACCUGCAGAAGAAGUCCCGGCUAACUACGUGCCAGCAGCCGCGGCCGAAU